AAAAAAGCAGCUGAGUCGUUUGAGAAUGAGUCGGUUCUCUGGGUCGGCUCUUCGAAUCGCCUUCUUGAGAUAUGGAUGGUACUAGGAUGAGCCCCAUGUCCGAGUGGCUAAAAUCUGAUGUUUUCAUCAUAUUUGUGGUGGUCCUGCUGCUCACAGUUAUUUCCAUCUUUGCUGUCUGCUGGGUCAUAAGGCGCCGUCGUACGCACAAAACAACAGAAAAAAUGGCAGAAAUUGAGAUCAUUCCUUUUGCGGGUUCAGGUGGAAACAAUAAACCCAGAUUCACCCUGAGGAUCAUCACAGAGCAGAAACAUGCCUCAGAGCUCAUUCAGAUGUUAACAGGCCAAAUUCGCUCCACUGUAGGUCCUGUGUGCUCCACUGACCUUGGUGUCUCUGCUGUAACUGAUGAGGUUGCCUCUACUUCUCAAGAUCAGCCUUAGAUAUACGCUUUGUCUUCCUGUCAGACCGAAAUAGACAGCGCACUCCCCACUGGACAGUAGGUCACGUCACUGGACUUGCAAACUAUAAAUCCCACUGAACACCUGGCUACAGCUGACCCAAUCGGGAUUACUGAUAAUGAAGAAGAAAAUGGUGCUAGUGAUAAUGAAACCCAGCAGUACUACCCUGUCUUAUCAUAAAAGACUGCAUACAAGCAACGUUUACUGAGUUAAUGAUGAACAUAAAUGUCUUUCUAUGCUUUAUAUAUGCUGUGUAGGUCAUGCUGUUUUGUUUUAUGUUGUUUUUCAACGAGUCAAAUGUAUUUCUGUUUAGUAGCCCCUUCUUAAAUUGUAGUC
Pangasianodon hypophthalmus (striped catfish) is the source of this 791-nucleotide RNA transcript. RefSeq lists it as uncharacterized. The record is from RefSeq and is a predicted model, not a curated record. The transcript has 3 exons. Lineage: Eukaryota; Metazoa; Chordata; Actinopteri; Siluriformes; Pangasiidae.